This 430-nucleotide ribosomal RNA is filed under the name uncultured fungus. RNAcentral's name for it is "partial 18S ribosomal RNA". Lineage: Eukaryota; Fungi. The record is from RNAcentral.
CAUUGUUGAAGUUUUGAAGUUGUUUUCUACUAAAAGAAAUCUUGUGUUGACUGAAUUAGUUUAAAAAAAUAUUUGUUUGUGUUUGCAUCCACUGGGAGAACUCCCUCCCGAAAGAGAGCGUUCCCCCAACGAACAAAAGAAUAGUAGUAAAGUAAACUCCACUGUGUGUAGUAAUUAGAAAGUGUCGAGUCGUGUGAUAAAACACCUCCUUUGGAAUAGAGAGAUCCACGCACACUCCCAGGUCUUUGUCGGCUCCCUCCCCCCACUGCAGAACACCCACCAACCGCGCACUUAAGCGCAGGCAGGAGAAAUAGCAUUCACAGCAGAGAAAAUAUUUUAGGAGCCUCCUGAGUGUCUACACUGGUCCUCCCCAGAGAUGUCUCUCUCCGAGCUCAGACAAAUCGAUUAAAUUUCUUUAAUGAAUCGAAUC